Molecule: small nucleolar RNA, 69 nt
Organism: Corvus moneduloides (New Caledonian crow)
Lineage: Eukaryota; Metazoa; Chordata; Aves; Passeriformes; Corvidae
Gene: SNORD58
Rfam family: Small nucleolar RNA SNORD58
About the family: snoRNA U58 is found in introns 1, 3 and 6 of the ribosomal protein RPL17 gene in humans.
Source: Ensembl
UUGCUGUGAUGACUAUCUUAGGACACCUUUGGAAUACCCAUGAAAAAAAAUUAGGUCUUUCUGAGCAAC